UAAAGCUGAUGUUUACAGCUUCGGAAUGCUGCUAAUGGGAAUGUUGGACUUGAAUAGAAAUGAAGUUGCAAAUGAAGAGAAUUCCAGCCAAUAUUUUCCUUAUAAUAUUUACGAUAAGUUCAACAAGGGGAAAGAGAUUGUGGUAGAUGAAGAAGCGAAUGAUGAUGAAAAGAAGAUGGCUAGAAAGCUGAGUUUGGUUGCGUUAUGGUGCAUACAAACAAAUCCGAUACAACGCCCUUCAAUGAGUAAAGUAGUACAAAUGCUUGAAGGCGAAGUUGAAGCGCUAGAAGUACCUCCUCAGCCUCUUCAAUCUCCACCGAUUGUCCAUCAGAUCAUGGAAAGUUCUACGACAUUAUCGUCUGAUUCAAUAGCUUUGUUAGAUAAUUCCGUGGAGGUAGACAUUUAUGCUGAUUGAUUAUAGUUGAUGUAAUGUUUAUGUGAAAUAAACAUAGCAAACCAACAAUGUUUGGGACAAAGAAUUGUGUUGUUAUUGUUGUACUAGUUAUAUUAAUGACAUAAUA
RNAcentral lists this unclassified non-coding RNA (521 nucleotides) under Hevea brasiliensis (rubber tree). The record is from RNAcentral. Lineage: Eukaryota; Viridiplantae; Streptophyta; Magnoliopsida; Malpighiales; Euphorbiaceae.